AACGAACGCUGGCGGCAUGCCUAACACAUGCAAGUCGAACGAUACCUUCGGGCCUAGUGGCGCACGGGUGCGUAACGCGUGGGAACCUGCCCUUAGGUUCGGAAUAACUCCCCGAAAGGGGUGCUAAUACCGGAUAAUGUCUUCGGACCACAGAUUUAUCGCCUUUGGAUGGGCCCGCGUUGGAUUGGCUAGUUGGUAGGGUAAAAGCCUACCAAGGCGACGAUCCAUAGCUGGUCUGAGAGGAUGAUCAGCCACACUGGGACUGAGACACGGCCCAGACUCCUACGGGAGGCAGCAGUGGGGAAUAUUGGAAAAUGGGCGAAAGCAUGAUCCAGCACUGCCGCGUGAGUGAUGAAGGACUUAGGGAUGUAAAGCUCUUUUACCCGGGAUGCUAAUGACAGUACCGGGAGAAUAAGCUCCGGCUAACUACGUG
RNAcentral lists this ribosomal RNA (433 nucleotides) under uncultured bacterium. RNAcentral describes it as "partial 16S ribosomal RNA". It matches the Rfam family "Bacterial small subunit ribosomal RNA", at positions 29 to 507 of the family's 1533-position model. The record is from RNAcentral.